This 301-nucleotide ribosomal RNA is filed under the name uncultured bacterium. Its description in RNAcentral is "partial 16S ribosomal RNA". It matches the Rfam family "Bacterial small subunit ribosomal RNA", at positions 509 to 807 of the family's 1533-position model. The record is from RNAcentral.
CAGUAGCCGCGGGAAUACGUAGGGUGCGAGCGUUAAUCGGAAUUACUGGGCGUAAAGCGUGCGCAGGCGGUUCGUUAAGACAGAUGUGAAAUCCCCGGGCUUAACCUGGGAACUGCAUUUGUGACUGGCGAGCUAGAGUAUGGCAGAGGGGGGUAGAAUUCCACGUGUAGCAGUGAAAUGCGUAGAGAUGUGGAGGAAUACCGAUGGCGAAGGCAGCCCCCUGGGCCAAUACUGACGCUCAUGCACGAAAGCGUGGGGAGCAAACAGGAUUAGAUACCCCUGUAGUCCCUGUCUCUUAUAC